This 237-nucleotide ribosomal RNA is filed under the name uncultured bacterium. Its description in RNAcentral is "partial 16S ribosomal RNA". It matches the Rfam family "Bacterial small subunit ribosomal RNA", at positions 524 to 760 of the family's 1533-position model. The record is from RNAcentral.
UACAGAGGGGGCAAGCGUUGUUCGGAAUUACUGGGCGUAAGGGCGCGUAGGCGGCCCGCUAAGUCGAACGUGAAAUCCCCGGGCUCAACCCGGGAACUGCGUCCGAUACUGGCGGGCUUGAAUCCGGGAGAGGGAUGCGGAAUUCCAGGUGUAGCGGUGAAAUGCGUAGAUAUCUGGAGGAACACCGGUGGCGAAGGCGACAUCCUGGACCGGUAUUGACGCUGAGGCGCGGAAAGC